RNAcentral lists this ribosomal RNA (735 nucleotides) under uncultured Fusobacterium sp. Its description in RNAcentral is "bacterial SSU rRNA". It matches the Rfam family "Bacterial small subunit ribosomal RNA", at positions 28 to 776 of the family's 1533-position model. Lineage: Bacteria; Fusobacteriati; Fusobacteriota; Fusobacteriia; Fusobacteriales; Fusobacteriaceae. The record is from RNAcentral.
GAUGAACGCUGACAGAAUGCUUAACACAUGCAAGUCAACUUGAAUUUGGGUUUUUAACUUAGAUUUGGGUGGCGGACGGGUGAGCAACGCGUAAAGAACUUGCCUCACAGCUAGGGACAACAUUUAGAAAUGAAUGCUAAUACCUGAUAUUAUGAUUUUAAGGCAUCUUAGAAUUAUGAAAGCUAUAAGCACUGCGAGAGAGCUUUGCGUCCCAUUAGCUAGUUGGAGAGGUAACAGCUCACCAAGGCAAUGAUGGGUAGCCGGCCUGAGAGGGUGAACGGCCACAAGGGGACUGAGACACGGCCCUUACUCCUACGGGAGGCAGCAGUGGGGAAUAUUGGACAAUGGACCGAGAGUCUGAUCCAGCAAUUCUGUGUGCACGAUGAAGUUUUUCGGAAUGUAAAGUGCUUUCAGUUGGGAAGAAAGAAAUGACGGUACCAACAGAAGAAGUGACGGCUAAAUACGUGCCAGCAGCCGCGGUAAUACGUAUGUCACGAGCGUUAUCCGGAUUUAUUGGGCGUAAAGCGCGUCUAGGUGGUUAUGUAAGUCUGAUGUGAAAAUGCAGGGCUCAACUCUGUAUUGCGUUGGAAACUGUAUAACUAGAGUACUGGAGAGGUAAGCGGAACUACAAGUGUAGAGGUGAAAUUCGUAGAUAUUUGUAGGAAUGCCGAUGGGGAAGCCAGCUUACUGGACAGAUACUGACGCUAAAGCGCGAAAGCGUGGGUAGCAAACAGG